This 267-nucleotide ribosomal RNA is filed under the name uncultured bacterium. Its description in RNAcentral is "partial 16S ribosomal RNA". It matches the Rfam family "Bacterial small subunit ribosomal RNA", at positions 1234 to 1500 of the family's 1533-position model. The record is from RNAcentral.
CGUAAACAAAGGGAAGCGAAGCGGUGACGCCUGGCAAAUCCCAGAAAUAACGUCCCAGUUCGGAUUGUAGUCUGCAACCCGACUACAUGAAGCUGGAAUCGCUAGUAAUCGCGAAUCAGAAUGUCGCGGUGAAUACGUUCCCGGGUCUUGUACACACCGCCCGUCACACCAUGGGAGUCGGGAACACCCGAAGUCCGUAGCCUAACAGCAAUGGGGGCGCGGCCGAAGGUGGGUUCGAUAAUUGGGGUGAAGUCGUAACAAGGUAUC